RNAcentral lists this ribosomal RNA (492 nucleotides) under uncultured bacterium. RNAcentral describes it as "partial 16S ribosomal RNA". It matches the Rfam family "Bacterial small subunit ribosomal RNA", at positions 29 to 507 of the family's 1533-position model. The record is from RNAcentral.
AGUGAACGCUGGCGGUAGGCCUAACACAUGCAAGUCGAACGGCAGCACAAUAAGAUCGUGCUCUUACGGGUGGCGAGUGGCGGACGGGUGAGGAAUAGAUCGGAAUCUACUUUUUCGUGGGGGAUAACGUAGGGAAACUUACGCUAAUACCGCAUACGACCUACGGGUGAAAUCAAUGGAUCUUCGCACCUUGCGCGAUUGAAUGAGCCGGUGUCGGAUUAGCUAGUUGGCGGGGUAAAGGCCCACCAAGGCGACGAUCCGUAGCUGGUCUGAGAGGAUGAUCAGCCACACUGGAACUGAGACACGGUCCAGACUCCUACGGGAGGCAGCAGUGGGGAAUCUUCGACAAUGGGCGCAAGCCUGAUCCAGCCAUGCCGCGUGGGUGAAGAAGGCCUUCGGGUUGUAAAGCCCUUUUGUUGGGAAAGAAAAGCAGCAGGUUAAUACAUCGCUGUUCUGACGGUACCCAAAGAAUAAGCACCGGCUAACUUCGUG